UACGGAGGGUGCGAGCGUUGUCCGGAUUUAUUGGGUUUAAAGGGUGCGUAGGCGGCCGCGUAAGUCCGGGGUGAAAGCCCGUUGCUCAACAACGGAACUGCCCUGGAAACUGCGCGGCUUGAGUCCAGACGAGGUUGGCGGAAUGGGCGGUGUAGCGGUGAAAUGCAUAGAUACCGUCCAGAACACCGAUUGCGAAGGCAGCUGACUAGGCUGGUACUGACGCUGAGGCACGAAAGCGUGGGGAGCGAACAGG
RNAcentral lists this ribosomal RNA (253 nucleotides) under uncultured bacterium. RNAcentral describes it as "partial 16S ribosomal RNA". It matches the Rfam family "Bacterial small subunit ribosomal RNA", at positions 524 to 776 of the family's 1533-position model. The record is from RNAcentral.